CCGAGGAGCGCCGGGCUGCUGCCCCGAGCCCCGCCCACUACAGCCUCAGUGCAUGGCGGUGGGCGCUUCCAGUAACUCAGGGGUGGGACUUUUUUCUUGCUCAGGGGAUGAGGCCGAGCCCACAGGCUUAGAAAGAAGGAACUUGAGUCCGGGCACCUGUCAUCCCAGCGCUUAGGGAGGCCGAGGCGGGUGGAUCACCUGAGGUCAGGAGUUCGAGACCAGCCUGGCCAAUAUGGCGAAACCCCCGUCUCUACUAAAAAUACAAAAAUUAGCCGAGCAUGGUGGCAUGCACUUCCAGCUACUUGGAAGGCUGAGGCGGGAGAAUGGCUUGAACCUGGGAGGCGAGGGUUGCAGUGAGCUGAGAUCGCACCACUGCACUCCAGCCUGGGUGACAGAGCGAGACUUCGUCUCAAAAAAAAAGAAGAAGAAAGAAGGAAGCUGAGGUUCAGACAGGCUAAGUCCCUACUGCAGGCUGCGGAAUCUAAAAAGGUCAUGAACUCUGAGAGUUUGAGAUGAGCCUCUAAAAGCUGUAUCAAUAGCACCUUGCACUGUUGAAGCAGGCCAUGAACUCUGAGAAUUUGGGCUGCAUUUUUAAAGCUGUAUCACUGGCAGUUUGUACUCAAAAAGCAGGUGCAGCUCCCUCCACACCCUGAGUCUUCAUGUGGCUCCAUCUUGUCUCCAACCAGUGCUCUGAACAGAGUUCACCACCCAAGGGAGCCCUCUCUGACUGCUGUCCCCCGAGCACCUGCUUUGUUCCCUUCUUGAGAUAGUGUCUUGCAAUGUCGCCCAGGCUGGAGUGCAGUGGUGCCCCUCCUGUUGUGAAUGUGAGUAACAAACCAUCUUUUCAAUGGCAGUCUCCUGCUGACCUGUCUACCUGUUGUGUGUGAAGCUGUGUGAUUCAAAUCAGCUUGAAUUACAUUUUUGUGAGUUCUGGAAAACCCAGACACCAUCUGUUCUUGUGUGCGAGUGUGUGUGUGUGUGUCCGUGGUUGAGGAAGUUUGGAAGACACCCCAUGGUCAAACAAGGUGGAGUCUAGGGCCACUUUCCCUGCCACAUGGCUAUCUUAUUAGAACCCUGCCUACCACAAAUGCCCAAUCCCAAGGGUAAGGCAAGACAGCAGCCCUGGAAUCCCUCCUUUGGACGGUUCCAGGACCCUUCUCCUUGGAUGCUCAGAGAUGGGAUGAAGAGCAGGUAAGGGAGGCGUGGGCUCAGGGCCAGAAAGCCUGGUAACCUCCCCUUCCUGAGUCCUGUGUCCUCCUCUGUAAAAUGCAGACACUCCUGGGAUGUCACUCACAGCCAGGGCUGCUGGGCUUAUUGUACUCUGCAGUUAGGCUCCUGUCUGAGGAGAUGAAAGGAUGUGAAAUCCAGCCUGUACCAUCUUCACAAGCUGUAUCCAUGCCUGGGCUGCAGGAUUUCAACCACAGCAUAGCAUUGACCUGUCCAAAAGCCCCAAAGCCUAUCAUGGCCAUGUAUGCAGUUAUUGCUACUUGGGAAAAAUUCUUAUUAAACAGAAAACAAGCAUAGGUGAAGAUACCCAUUUUGAAACAAUCUUAUUUUUUAUCUUUUAAUUUGAGGUGAUGCUCAUUGUCUUAUAAGGGGCCUUUGCCAUCACUAGAUGGCAUUCUUGCAUCAUGGAAAACUACACAGGAGCUCCUUUAAAAAUCAAUUUUGAACUGUGGCAAAAUACACAUCACAUAAAAUUUACCAUGUUAAAAUUGUACAAAGUACAAUUUUAAAACGAAU
RNAcentral lists this long non-coding RNA (1743 nucleotides) under Homo sapiens (human). RNAcentral describes it as "HSALNT0398919". The record is from RNAcentral. Lineage: Eukaryota; Metazoa; Chordata; Mammalia; Primates; Hominidae.